This 246-nucleotide long non-coding RNA is filed under the name Lathyrus oleraceus (garden pea). RNAcentral describes it as "Pisum sativum (pea) long non-coding RNA (PSAT_LNC023187)". The record is from RNAcentral. Lineage: Eukaryota; Viridiplantae; Streptophyta; Magnoliopsida; Fabales; Fabaceae.
UUUUAUUGAUUUUGUUAUUGAAUUCUUUAUUUCGUUAAUUUUUUUUUAUAAAUAUUAUUGAUAAAUUUUGUAUUUUUAAUAAUUUAUAAUAAAUUUGUAGUUGAGAAUAUGAUAUCCAUUAAUUAAAAAUAUAAAAUACAUUUUACUUGAAAUAAAAAAUAUAUAUCCUUAUAAGUUGAAUGAUAUCUAAAAUAUAAUAUUAUAAUUUUCUAUAAUUUUAAUAAUUAAAACAUAAUUGAAAGAAAA